GACGAACGCUGGCGGCGUGCAUAACACAUGCAAGUCAAGGGGGCCCGCAAGGGCAACCGGCGAACGGGUGCGUAACACGUAAGCGACCUACCUCGAUGUGGGGCAUAGCCGGCCUAACGGCCGGGUAAUUCCGCAUACGCUCUUGGAGGGGCAUAUCUCCGAGAUGAAACCAGCAAUGGGCAUUGAGAGGGGCUUGCGGCCUAUCAGCUAGUUGGUGAGGUAACGGCNCACCAAGGCUACGACGGGUAGCUGGUCUGAGAGGAUGGCCAGCCACAUUGGGACUGAGAAACGGCCCAGACUCCUACGGGAGGCAGCAGUGGGGAAUCUUGCGCAAUGGGCGAAGGCCUGACGCAGCCACGCCGCGUGAGUGAAGAAGGCCUGGUGUAAGA
Molecule: ribosomal RNA, 389 nt
Filed under: uncultured bacterium
Lineage: Bacteria
Description: bacterial SSU rRNA
Rfam family: Bacterial small subunit ribosomal RNA
Source: RNAcentral